RNAcentral lists this non-coding RNA (1203 nucleotides) under Pan troglodytes (chimpanzee). The record is from RNAcentral. Lineage: Eukaryota; Metazoa; Chordata; Mammalia; Primates; Hominidae.
AACUUUAGCUGUAAAGAAGACUGCAGUUAUGUAGCACUUUGUAUCCAGGGAUCUCAAAGAACUUUACGCAUCAUUUAUUGUGAACCUUGUUUUGCAAAGAUUUCAGUUACUUGAGGCUUGGGAGGCGGAUAGGGGAUAAAUGUCUGAGUUAUAUAUAUAUUUACGCAAGUAAUCGAGUUUGAGGGGAGAGACACAAAACCUCUGGUUUAGCGGUUUCCUCUUGUUUGUGAAGCACCUUCUAGCAGUUAUCUUAGAGAUGUAAGUUCAUUUACUUGUCCAGCACUAAAAGGCCAAAGGGGCUUGUUUUCUCACCCAAAAGACCUUCCUGAGGCAGCUGUUCGGAUACAUGCAGAGCACAGCGCCCUGCUCAGAAAGGAAGGUUCAGAGAACAAAUUGCCGUUUAAAACUAUUGGGACAAACCUACCUCUUCUAAAGCUUAAAAUGGUCUCCAGCGUACCAGGAUUUGUGAAGGCCUGAAGUUCGUAGAAUGAAAUCUAUGUGGAGAUGAUUUAAAAGAACGGUUUCACUGGUUUGCAUUUCUUUCUUUUCUUUUUAAUUAAAAAAAAAAAAAACAACCCUGGUUUCCUUAGGGAUUCAGGGUGGUGUUAUGCAAAAUCGGAAAGGUACACUUGGAGGAGCUAGCAAGUUUAGCAUAUCAAAGCUAUUAGACCAAUUUGUGCGGUUAAAACUGCCAUUCUCAUUUCUCAACAGCUGUCUCCUCUCUGUCCCUUUUUAGAGACCAACACAUAUAAACCAAGUCUACACAAGAAACAAAGGUAAUGGAAAUCUGCUAGUAUCAGGUUUAAAUAGAUCAAAAUAGAGUAGAAAACCCCAAAAGGGUCUAAGUUAUGUAGUUGGGUAAAGGUGUUGAUCUAUUUAGCCAGUGUUAGCUAAAGGUCGCUUGAUGCUGUGUAGACAUAUAUAACUAAAGAGCAAUGAAUGGUGUGGGGAAGGUGCUUAAGAUUCAGUUAGAAGAAACUGUAAAAGCAAGUAAAUUCAGAAAAGGAGGGAAUUACCACAUGCCCUUCGAUGCAGAGAACCAAGAAAUGCAGGGAGAAAGUCAGCAAGGCACAGUUUUUCUAAGAAACACAUAUGUGUCCCCAUUUAGUGGUAAAUUUCUUGGGCUAUAUUCCUGGCUGGUUCUGGCUUUUAAAGCAGAUUUUAUUUGAGUAUAUUUUAAAGGAAAGGAGAAAUUGAAGGAUG